Long non-coding RNA from Aegilops tauschii subsp. strangulata, 565 nucleotides. RefSeq lists it as uncharacterized. NCBI's taxonomy places the organism in Eukaryota, Viridiplantae, Streptophyta, Magnoliopsida, Poales, Poaceae. The record is from RefSeq and is a predicted model, not a curated record.
GCACGACCAGACAUGCCGCACGCAUAUAUGCACACAUUAGUUUUUUGGUAUUUCUCCUUAAGGCAAUUGCGUUGGUGGUGCAUAGAAGGAUGCCCACACUCUCUUCUUCCACAUGACAGACGGCGGAGGUACGCCUCCUCCCUCCUUCCAUCUCACAAAUCUAUGCCAGGAAGGAUAGAUGUGACCUUCAAGGCGGUGGUGCAAGAUCUCGAUCUGAGUGGGAUGGACAGACGCGACAACCCAGACGGUAGCACUAACGCGGGAGGGACGGAAGGAGAUGAGGAGGUCCAAAAGUCGAUGGCUGAUCGACUUUUCUGUCAUAGAAAGUUUUGGGCGCAAACGGCAGAACCUACAUAUUAUCUAGGGUCUACCCAAAAAAGGCCAAAAGUCACACAUGUUCUUCUUGAAAGUGGGCAGUCCAAUCUCCAGAUCACAUCUCUGAGAGUCUCGGAGAUGAGGAACGUGAAUAUUUUCAUACUUUAGGCUCUUAUGAAUAUUUAAGAUUUAGUCAUCGACUUGACCUGUUCGAUGAUCUUCAUAUUUCAAUAUUUAGUCAUUGGCUUGA